GCUUACUGAUACCUCUGACACAGGCUUCAGGGUUUGUUUUAGGAAGUUUUUUGCAAACUACAUUAAGCAAGCCUGGCUGUGUGCAACCACUAGGGUCAGACUCCUGUAGCUCUCUCCUUCUGGUAUAUGGAAGAGAAUGACCAUUCACAGCAGAAACAAAGACUGCACUUAAGUCUCUUGGGCAUCAGCAAGUUGCUCUGACAUAAUCUCACCUUCAUUUUCCAACAAAUGGGGUCUGUGAGCCUCCAGAGGUCCUGACAACUGCAGUAAAGUCAUGUACUUCUCCAGAGAACUGGGAAUGAUGAUGAGUUUGAAAAGGAAUCCAGAGACAGCCUGUGAAUUCCCCUGUCCAUGGCUGAACAAGGGUAAAUAAUAAGGCAGCACUGUGUCAUGGAUUCAAACCGAGACUCCAGCUCUUAACAAUGAUUGAAAGCCCCCACGGGUGUGUGGAGAAGUCAGAGACAACAGCACAUCAAUUAUGAAGCCCUGCACUUUAUCUACUGCUGGCAAAAGAAAAGGUUAAUUAUCUAAAAAUAAAGCAACUGUAUGCUGGUGUAGGAGGGUGAACUCGAAGGAGGGCUGUGGAACAAACAAGAUAAGGUUGUGAUCUACAAUGUUAGAAGACUGAAGCUGAAACUGUCCAGUAUAACCUAUCACCCACAGGCAAAUUGCAUGCCUGAAAACUCUUGACUAAAAUAAAUGGACUACGUCAUGUCUUUUAAUAAGCCUUUUCUGACUCUGACAUUGAAACCAACAGGUGCCCAGGAACCAAAGACAUUCAUACCCAUUUAGCUACUCCAAGGCUGUACAUGUUCAAAUGACUUAUCACAGCACAGCAAGCCAAGGACUUGAGGACUGAGAUCAGAGCUGAAUUUCUUUAAUAUUUCUGCUGCCAGUAACUUUUUGCAGGUGUGAAUUUGAGACCACAUCUCUCCAAAGCACUGUUAUGUUUAGGGUUUUACUCUCCAUGAGCAUCCAUGAAUCACAAAAGAUCUGGGGAGUUGAGGAAGCACCAGAAAGUUUGGGAUGAGGUUCACCACUGCAGACACACAGGCAGGGAGCUGGCAUCCUUCAGUGUUUGUUGAGACUGUUGUACUAGAGAAAAACUCAGUAACCAUCAGUGGCUCUGCCAUGGGAAUCCAAACAGGCAAGGCUACUACAUAAGAAGAGCAAGAAAGAAGCUACACUCAUCUAGUUUGCCUUCCUUACUUUGAAGGCCUGCCAGGCAGCCGAGGACCUGACAAAUAGGCCCCAGCUACAUAUUUAUGGCAGCAACUCCUCCAGCCUGGGAGCUAAGAGAGCAUGAGGCAUAUGGAGUUAAUACCACUGAGUGAAAAGGAAAAUCACCAAUAAGUCCAAUAGGACUCUAACAGAGUCUUUAAUAUAGACCUUAAACACAGAGCCUGGAAUAUGUUUCUUUAAUGUUAAUUUUUUCAAAGUCCUUCAUUCCACUGGAACAAAAUUUUGAGGGUCCAUGAAUACUUUGGGUUUUAUAGCAGCUGAAAUGAUCAAAAAUCAUUACAGGUGUUUGCUGAAUUCUAUGCAACUCCCUCCAAGGAAAGAAGGGUGAAAUGCCAUCUCUGUAUAAAUAA
Long non-coding RNA from Empidonax traillii (willow flycatcher), 1592 nucleotides. RefSeq lists it as uncharacterized. The record is from RefSeq and is a predicted model, not a curated record. NCBI's taxonomy places the organism in Eukaryota, Metazoa, Chordata, Aves, Passeriformes, Tyrannidae. The transcript is spliced from 3 exons.